This 614-nucleotide ribosomal RNA is filed under the name Pseudomonas sp. RNAcentral describes it as "bacterial SSU rRNA". It matches the Rfam family "Bacterial small subunit ribosomal RNA", at positions 726 to 1344 of the family's 1533-position model. Lineage: Bacteria; Pseudomonadati; Pseudomonadota; Gammaproteobacteria; Pseudomonadales; Pseudomonadaceae. The record is from RNAcentral.
CACGUGGCAUGGUACUGACAUCAGGUGCGAAAGCGUGGGGAGCAAACAGGAUUAGAUACCCUGGUAGUCACGCCGUAAACGAUGUGGACUAGCCGUUGUGAUCUUGGAGAUCUUAGUGGCGCAGUUAACGCGUUAAUUCGACCGCUUGGGGAUUACGGCGCCAAGGUUAAAAUUCAAUGGAAUUGCCGGGGGCCCGCCCAAGCGGUGGGCCAUGGGGUUUAAUUGGUAGCAACGGGAGGACCGUUACUUGUCCUAAAAAAAAAGAGAUCUUUCCGGAGAAGAAGAGAACCCUUCGGGAAGUCAGACCCAGGUGUGGCAUGGCUUUCGUCAGUUCGUGUCGUGAGAUGUUGGGUUAAUUCCCGUAACGAGCGCAACCCUUGUCCUUAGUUACCAGCACCUCGGGUGGGCACUCUAAGGAGACUGCCGGUGACAAACCGGAGGAAGGUGGGGAUGACGUCAAGUCAUCAUGGCCUUACGGCCAGGGCUACACACGUGUACAAUGGCAUGUACAAAGGGAUACCAAGCCGCGAGGUCGAGCUAAUACCAUAAAACCGAUCGUAGUCCGGAUCGCAGUCUGCAACUCGACUGCGAGAAGUCGGAAUCGCUAGUAAUCG